GGUAACUCCGGGCGAGUGGGCGCUGUAAUACGGAGGAGGCAAGCGUUAUCCGGAAUUGUUGGGCGGAAAGCGUCCGUAGGGGGCUAGUCAAGGCUGCGGUCAAAGACUGGGGCUUAACCCUGGAAAGGCCGUGGAAACUGACGAGCUAGAGUGCAGUAGGGGUAGAGGGAAUUCCCGGUGUAGCGGUGAAAUGCGUAGAGCUCGGGAAGAACAUCGGUGGCGAAAGCGCUCUACUGGACUGCAACUGACACUCAGGGACGAAAGCUAGGGGAGCGAAUGGGAUUAGAUACCCGAGUAGUC
RNAcentral lists this ribosomal RNA (300 nucleotides) under uncultured Picrophilus sp. Its description in RNAcentral is "bacterial SSU rRNA". It matches the Rfam family "Bacterial small subunit ribosomal RNA", at positions 496 to 795 of the family's 1533-position model. The record is from RNAcentral. Lineage: Archaea; Methanobacteriati; Thermoplasmatota; Thermoplasmata; Thermoplasmatales; Picrophilaceae.